Triticum aestivum (bread wheat) is the source of this 2814-nucleotide long non-coding RNA. RefSeq lists it as uncharacterized. NCBI's taxonomy places the organism in Eukaryota, Viridiplantae, Streptophyta, Magnoliopsida, Poales, Poaceae. The record is from RefSeq and is a predicted model, not a curated record. The transcript is spliced from 7 exons.
ACCAUCGUGCCCAGAGCAGAUCGAUCUCCGCCGCCGACCAGACCUUCGCACGCUCGAUCUCAUGCCCGAUCGCACGCCCGAUCCACCCCUACUUCCCCUCCCCGGCCGAUCCAUCCCGGUGCCGCGGCCGAUCCACCCCUACGCCCCUUCCGAUGUUCUUCGUAGCCGCCGCCCACGUAGGAACUUGUUCGUUGCCGCCGCCGCCGCGUCUCCAGGGCAGGGCGGCUUUAAUCCCUGUCGCCGGGAUCGCCCCCGCCGAACUCCGGGCCAUGGCGGCGACCAGCGCCGGGAUAGGACCAGGAGGCCGCCGGCGUCUCCCUGAUCCGUGACCCCGACGCCAUGGAGAUGCUCGUCAAGGCACGCGCGGGACCAGCGGCAGGAAGGGCAGAGAGGAGGACCGAGCCCGCCGGUGCGCGUGGCCAAGGGAUGUACCUGCCCGGAGCUACUUCGCCCUCAGUGCGGCGGCCGUGUAUAUGGAAUUGUGCCCUGGUGGGGGCUCCGAGGGAGGAAACCGAUGAGCACAAGGCGCUACUGCCAUAGCGUCCGGAGGGAGGCAUGACGUGCAGGGCUACAGGGAAUCCGCCGAUGACAUAUGUGGCUUCUCCUAUGCCUGAUGGUGCUGUCAUUGCAGCGGCGGCAGCGGAUCUGAGUCCUACCCGUCGGGAUCGAACGACAGAUGGCGUGAGGGAGCUGGAUGCGAGUCCCACUCCCAACCUGAGGGCUCGACCUUCUCGAUUCCUGGCUGCGGCGGGUGCGGAACUCCGAAGUGAUGGUGAACUCGCCGGUGUCGCACUGCCCCCACACAAGCGCCAUCAGAAAGCACUUCGCUCUGUUGCACACAAGCAAUAACUAUUUCUGCACCGAUCUGUCCGAAGAUAUAAAGUUUGAACCAGCCCUUAGCUUGCAUUUGGUCAGUUCAUCUUUCAGGAGAAUAUGCAUCUUACUUAGUUCGAGGUGAAAUUUUGUUUGUCGCGUCAGGAAUAAAAAAAAUAUGGUGCCUCCGUAUCUUUAUAUAAAGUCCUUACUAUAUAUGUUGCCCUCUUCCAUUGAAUUGGAUGUAAUAUUGUGUACACUUAAUGUCGAGACUAAUGUCUAUCGCCAAUUUCAGUAUAGUCGAAACAUAUUGAUGGCACUGAAAAUGAUUCUGCUUUUGCAGGUCUGACCUGACUCUUCUUUGUACGUAUGUAAUUGGUUUAUUUCUUGAUAGGUUGGUACUCUCUGAAUUUCUUGAUGAGCGUUCCCGUUGCUGCACUGCAUUGUGGCCGAGUCCUCUUCUUGGUCAUGCCAGUGACAUGAGCAGGAUGGUGUAUACCGGCUUCCCAGACAUGUGUCUGUCGAGGCCGCACCGGGUUUGUGGAGGUGAUGGCACGAGUAUUUACCAGGAUGCUUGGAGAUGCGUUGGCAUAUGUCCAGAACAACCUGGUCCACGCAUGGGGUCUGACUUGAAUAUUUCAGGAGAUGACUAGAUGUAAAUUUGACUUUCAGAUAAUACAUCUGUCAAUUGCGCAAAAUCAUAUAGAGCAGAUGGGCAUCGUUGACACGUAGUGCAUGACACAUUGCGUGAUUAAGAUGCUCUUAGGCCAGCUGAGUAACAUAAGACAACUUUUGUAUGAAGAUCGGUUGUUCGGUUUCAUUCUGACAGUUUAGAAGCUUUUGUUUGGCGUUUCUCUCAGCCGGAUAAUAGAGAAAAAGAGACUUACGCAGGCAUCAAGACUCUUUGAAGUCAUAAUAUCCAGCUUCACCUUCAAAUGUCGACGUUCUACCAUGAUUGUGCAAUAUAUUUCAAGGCCCAUGAUAAAACUGAAAGAGCAUCAAGGGUUUUACAAGUCAUGGUGGCCCGGUUUUGCUGGCGUUGUGGUCCAUGCAUACCAAUUCUUUGAAUCAGUGCCACCAUGCAGUGAUGUAAGAAAAAGGUGUGUCGUUUGUCGACUGUGGGCAAUGGAGUGAUGUAGAUGUACUGUAGAGUACAUAUUCAAGGGAACAGUGAGGUGACUUUAGAUAGCUGUAAUGAGCUGAUGGAGCCUUUGACCUGAAGUUAUAUUUGUAUAGAUUACAUGAUUUGUUGAUGAGGAUAAGAAAGAGGAGCUGAUGGCAAACCAACCGAGGAAGGUAACCGAAGAUUGAGGUUGGGCGCAAUGCCACAUCAGAAGUUAUUUAGGCUAUGGGUGAGUUCGGGGCCAUGGAGUGAGCCGAUAGGAGGGUCGAGUAUGGUGCAUACAUGUCAACGUUGGUAGUCAGAACUUGAUGCUGAGUGCGGAUGGGAAUGAUGGAGCGAGGAUGGGCGUGCUUUAGUCUAGCAAUUUGUCAUUGCCAAAUGGUUCAAUCCCGGUGAUGUCAUUGCUGGAUAUGCAAGGUCUCACUGGGCAAGGUAUUUGAAGUUCUUAAGUGCUUAGGAACCUCGCUGUGCUUUCGUAUUGACGUGAUUAGCAAGUGUAUUUACCGAAGCAUAGAUUUAAUGCUGGUUAUGUGUAGCACCGAAUCUGAGGUGGCUCCAAUCCAGUCAGUUCUGGCAUUGGAGAGUUAAGAGUGAAUCAGACUUAAUCAGAUGGCAUCAACACUGUGUUAAUCAUUGGAAGGUAUGCCGAGCGUUUGGGAAGAGAAGAAUGGUGCCAAUACAUACUUUUGGUUCUUAACCCAGAUGAUCUCAUUUAAAAUUGCUGGCGUUUGUUAUAAUCAUUCUUGAUGAGCUGCACAACGCUUCAUGUAUUGCACUACUAAUGUCGUUUAUUGGGUGGUCAAACUCCUGUUCCACUCCUAUAUAGAUGCUAUGUAAAUAAUUUGUUUUGUUUACUAAAAUCUGAAUAUUAGUGAAUC